This 103-nucleotide non-coding RNA is filed under the name uncultured Agathobacter sp. RNAcentral's name for it is "THF riboswitch". It matches the Rfam family "THF (Tetrahydrofolate) riboswitch aptamer". Rfam says of the family: THF riboswitch presents a pseudoknot that joins P1-P2 and the loop of P3 and two THF binding. The record is from RNAcentral. Lineage: Bacteria; Bacillati; Bacillota; Clostridia; Lachnospirales; Lachnospiraceae.
GCAGAGUAGGAUUUUGUGCGUAAAGUGCCAGGUGAACAGGGAGUUGUCACCCGGACGAAGAAGCGAAUCAAUGCUUCGCGGUACGAGAUCCGCAUCCCGCUGC